This 759-nucleotide long non-coding RNA is filed under the name Olea europaea subsp. europaea. Lineage: Eukaryota; Viridiplantae; Streptophyta; Magnoliopsida; Lamiales; Oleaceae. The record is from RNAcentral.
CAAAAAGCUUGCAGUCCCAACUUUUUUAUUGUUUUGCAAAUUAUACUCAAUUGUUUUAUAAUCUUUAGAACUUUAUUUUCUUCCCCACUCCCACCCUAUGCUAUCCCAUCCCUCUUGAUCUUCUUCCCUAACCCUACCUAAAAGUACGCCCGAUUGCAAAGAAUUCAAUUACAGCUCCAAUGGUGGCACUCUCUCACGCACUUACAGUUGGAUUUUUCCAUUGCAAAGAAUUCAGCUCCAAUUUUAUACAACUAUAGGAAAACACCAGAAUCCACCCCAGCUUACAAAACUGAUGAUUUAUGAAUGUAUUCAAUUAAAUCCAGGAAUCCAAUUAAAUGCAAUUAAACAAAAAAUUGAAUCCGAGAAUUCUGGAUCUGCAACGGUCAAGCUCUUCGGUAAUUUCUCAUCCAAAUCUUCAAGUACUGAAAAUAGUGAACAAGUAAUUGACUCAGUGUCGCCGCCUAAUACUUGUCUUGCAGCGUCUUGGGUGGAAGCGACAGUCGAGAGAAAAAUACGAAGCCUGCAGAAGGGGAUUACUUUAUUACAAGGCCAAAGAAAUUGAAGUUCACCGAGCAAGAUAAGUUGUUGAAAAAGUUUAGGCAUACGAAGGUGUUGGCGGCUGCUUUGAAUGAGAAGAAUCCAGAGAUUGUAAUGGCUAUUAUGGAGGAGUUAGUGGCCACGAAGAAGUUGCUGAAAUUUGUAUCUAAUUUGGAUUAGUGGCCGCUAAGUGAGAUUGGAUGAAGAAAAAAGUUAGUGGGG